CCAGACUCCUACGGGAGGCAGCAGUGGGGAAUAUUGGACAAUGGGGGCAACCCUGAUCCAGCAAUUCUGUGUGCACGAUGAAGGUCUUCGGAUUGUAAAGUGAUUUCAGCAGGGAAGAAAAAAAUGACGGUACCUGCAGAAGAAGCGACGGCUAAAUACGUGCCAGCAGCCGCGGUAAUACGUAUGUCGCGAGCGUUAUCCGGAAUUAUUGGGCAUAAAGGGCAUCUAGGCGGCCGGAUAAGUCUGGGGUGAAAACUUGCGGCUCAACCGCAAGCCUGCCCUGGAAACUAUGCGGCUAGAGUACUGGAGAGGUGGACGGAACUGCACGAGUAGAGGUGAAAUUCGUAGAUAUGUGCAGGAAUGCCGAUGAUGAAGAUAGUUCACUGGACGGUAACUGACGCUGAAGUGCGAAAGCUAGGGGAGCAAACAGGAUUAGAUACCCUGGUAGUCCUAGCUGUAAACGAUGAUUACUGGGUGUGGGCAUGAAGAGUGUCCGUGCCGAAGCUAAUGCGAUAAGUAAUCCGCCUGGGGAGUACGGCCGCAAGGCUGAAACUCAAAGGAAUUGACGGGGGCCCGCACAAG
This 582-nucleotide ribosomal RNA is filed under the name uncultured bacterium. RNAcentral's name for it is "bacterial SSU rRNA". It matches the Rfam family "Bacterial small subunit ribosomal RNA", at positions 331 to 929 of the family's 1533-position model. The record is from RNAcentral.